Molecule: small nuclear RNA, 23 nt
Filed under: Arabidopsis thaliana (thale cress)
Lineage: Eukaryota; Viridiplantae; Streptophyta; Magnoliopsida; Brassicales; Brassicaceae
Description: snRNA_15327
Source: RNAcentral
AAUCCUGUUUCACUCAGGUGUUC